UCCUAGUGAUGAGAACCCUGUCCAGUUCUGCUACUGAACACAAGUGACGACAGUGGUUUUUCUGAAGA
Small nucleolar RNA from Dromiciops gliroides (monito del monte), 68 nucleotides. Lineage: Eukaryota; Metazoa; Chordata; Mammalia; Microbiotheria; Microbiotheriidae. The record is from RefSeq and is a predicted model, not a curated record.